This 874-nucleotide ribosomal RNA is filed under the name saltern metagenome. Its description in RNAcentral is "bacterial SSU rRNA". It matches the Rfam family "Bacterial small subunit ribosomal RNA", at positions 8 to 926 of the family's 1533-position model. The record is from RNAcentral.
AGAGUUUGAUCCUGGCUCAGGAUGAACGCUGGCGGCGUGCCUAACACAUGCAAGUCGAACGAAGCCCUCGGGCUUAGUGGCGGACGGGUGAGUAACGCGUGAGAAUCUCCCUUCAGGAUGGGGACAACCGUUGGAAACGACGGCUAAUCCCCAAUGUGCCGAGAGGUGAAAGGGUUUCCGCCUGAAGAAGAGCUCGCGUCCGAUUAGUCAGUUGGUGAGGUAAGAGCUCACCAAGGCAGCGAUCGGUAGCUGGUCUGAGAGGAUGAGCAGCCACACUGGGACUGAGACACGGCCCAGACUCCUACGGGAGGCAGCAGUGGGGAAUUUUCCGCAAUGGGCGAAAGCCUGACGGAGCAACGCCGCGUGUGGGAAGAAGGCUCUUGGGCUGUCAACCACUUUUCUCAGGGAAGAAGACCUGACGGUACCUGAGGAAUCAGCCUCGGCUAACUCCGUGCCAGCAGCCGCGGUAAUACGGAGGAGGCAAGCGUUAUCCGGAAUUAUUGGGCGUAAAGCGUCCGCAGGGGGCGCAUCAAGUCUGCUGUUAAAGGCUGGAGCUUAACUCCGGUAGAGCAGUGGAAACUGGUGCGCUAGAGGGCGACAGGGGUAGAGGGAAUUCCCAGUGUAGCGGUGAAAUGCGUAGAGAUUGGGAAGAACACCGGUGGCGAAAGCGCUCUACUGGGUCGCACCUGACCCUCAGGGACGAAAGCUAAGGUAGCGAAAGGGAUUAGAUACCCCUGUAGUCUUAGCCGUAAACGAUGGAUACUAGGCGUGGCUUGUAUCGACCCAAGCCGUGCCGAAGCUAACGCGUUAAGUAUCCCGCCUGGGGAGUACGCACGCAAGUGUGAAACUCAAAGGAAUUGACGGGGGCCCGCAC